GGGGGAACCCUGAUCCAGCCAUGCCGCGUGUGUGAAGAAGGCCUUAUGGUUGUAAAGCACUUUAAGCGAGGAGGAGGCUACUUUAGUUAAUACCUAGAGAUAGUGGACGUUACUCGCAGAAUAAGCACCGGCUAACUCUGUGCCAGCAGCCGCGGUAAUACAGAGGGUGCGAGCGUUAAUCGGAUUUACUGGGCGUAAAGCGUGCGUAGGCGGCUUAUUA
Molecule: ribosomal RNA, 220 nt
Filed under: Acinetobacter baumannii
Lineage: Bacteria; Pseudomonadati; Pseudomonadota; Gammaproteobacteria; Moraxellales; Moraxellaceae
Description: partial 16S ribosomal RNA
Rfam family: Bacterial small subunit ribosomal RNA
Source: RNAcentral